This 478-nucleotide unclassified non-coding RNA is filed under the name Hevea brasiliensis (rubber tree). Lineage: Eukaryota; Viridiplantae; Streptophyta; Magnoliopsida; Malpighiales; Euphorbiaceae. The record is from RNAcentral.
AAUUUCUGGUUUGCUGCAGCAAAUGCAAUGAUAAAAAGAGACAAAGGUAUAUUGCAUUUAAAAGAAUGCAAGGUGAUACUAGAGUAUCAUACUAUUAUACUAGAGUAUCAUGCUAUGCGUGAAAAACUUGAUAACAGGUAAAUCAUCAAAAUUGAUAGCAAUUAAAAAUAUCGUGGAUCCAUAUAGAAUCUUGUUAAAACAAUCCCAAGUAAGAUUAUAGGCUAAAGAAAAGCUUCCAAGUACUGUUAAUCUAUUGCUUGAACCCAUGCAGUACAACUAGGAUACCCUGCAGAAAAUAUAUGUUCUCUUUUUUAUGCUUAAUAGAAUAGAAAUUAGAAUUAUCUGCUUUCUGGGACAAGCAUUAAGAAAGUUCAAUCAAUAUAGCUCUGUGUUAAGCACUUUUAGAUGUAAGAUGACCUGUUUUUGUGUUGCUCUAAUUUGGUGCAUCUUUUAUAGGACCAAUAUAUAUGUCAAUCCA